RNAcentral lists this long non-coding RNA (1591 nucleotides) under Homo sapiens (human). Its description in RNAcentral is "HSALNT0081375". The record is from RNAcentral. Lineage: Eukaryota; Metazoa; Chordata; Mammalia; Primates; Hominidae.
CCACCGUGCCCAGCCGGAUAUUUGUAUUUAAAUAACUAAUAUGCAAUCCCUAUAGAAUCUACCCGAUUCAGUGUCUUCUUAGUGGCUACUAAAAUACCUACUGGAUCCACUGUCCAGUUUGCCUAAAUUGUAGCUGUUUCUUAAGUUAAAUUCGUCUGGAUAUUUGGUUCCUUCUGGAGUAGUUUUCCUUUGACUAACACUUGAAGAAUAAUUUUCAUUUUAGUUCUAGAAGUAACCUUCUGUUACUCUCACUUAGGUGCUCUUUUGGGCCUAAAUAUAAUUAGAUCCUUCGCCGUUGUUUUGAGGUAAAUCUAAACGAAAAGGAACACCUGUUAACAGGUAGUGAUGCCGCAGGAAAGUGCUGGGAAGGGAAUGCUGGGAAGGGAAGGGCGUGGUCCCUUUAAAUGAUAAGGAAGGGGGGCGGGAAGUGCUGGGUAGAGGAGGGCGUGGUCCCCAGCUAGGGCUUCAUCCCUGGGCCUGGGCCUACCUAGGUGAAGACAGGCAUUUUUGUUUUCCUGCCCGGAUGUUGCAUUUCCCAAGACCACCCUGGCCUGCCAUGCCCUCAUCCUGUGCCUUUAAAAACCCCCGAGACCCUGGCAGGCAGACGCACAAGCAGCUGGACAUUGAGAGGAGCAUAUAGGCAGAGAAUACAGGGGCUGCUGGAUGUCGAAAGGAACGCACCAGCAUAGGAGCACACCGGCAUGCUGGCAGGCCAUUGACCAGCGGAAGAAUGCAGAGUUUGUCGCGGGAGGUCAGAGAAGAGUCAGGCCGCCAUACCUGACUCCAGGAGAAAACCGUCUCCCUUCUGGUUCCCCCGUCUGCCGAGAGCUACUUCCACUCAAUAAAACUUUCCACUCAUUCUUCAAGCCCACGUGUGAUCCAAUUCUUCCCGUACACCAAGGUCUCGCUGUGUUUCCCAGGCUGGGUGCAGUGGCUAUUCAAAGGUACAAUGAUAGCUCACUGCAGCCUGGAACUCCUGGACUCAAGCGAUCCUCCUGCCUCAGCUGCGACUAACAGUGCUGGUAAUGAUGUAUACCUGGCAGCUGACCGUCAAAUCUUAUGAAGGAUUAAAACAUAAAGUUUGCAUUAAAGGUCAAAACAGUCACAAGCCUGCUCAAAUUCGGAAAGAGGGGACGGAAAUGGAACCUCUUCAUGGGAGGAAGAAACAGGGUCUUGCUCUGUUGCCCUGGCUGGAGUGCAAUGGUAUGAUCAUAGCUCACAGUAGCCUUGAACUCCUGGGCCCAAGCCAUCCUCCUACCUCAGCAACCAGAGUAGCUGGGAUUACAGGCGAAUGCCACCACACCUGGAAUUGGAAAAAUGAAUGUAAUUUGACAUAUGUCUUGAGUCUGGUUGGCUUCUGAGGAACUUGUGUGCAUCUCAUCAGUAUGCAUCUUAAGAACUGAAAUGACCCUACUUCAGCAUUGUGAAAUUACAUAAAGAUAAAAGGGGAUGCACUGAACCUGAUGGUACUUUCCUGUACAAUUGAGAAAAGGUGAAAUAAGCAGAAGACCAAGGGAUGCAUUGGGAGGAGGAGAACCAGGAGGAGGACCACGUAAUGGAAGCCAAGUGAAGACAGUGUUUCCCAGUGCUG